GCCCCUAUGGCGUAGUGGUAGCGCGUGUCACUUGUAUGAACAGGUAUGACAAGGUCUCUCGUUCGAUCCGGGAUGGGGGCA
This 81-nucleotide transfer RNA is filed under the name Xylaria sp. FL1042. RNAcentral's name for it is "tRNA-Thr". It matches the Rfam family "tRNA". Rfam says of the family: Transfer RNA (tRNA) molecules are approximately 80 nucleotides in length. Their secondary structure includes four short double-helical elements and three loops (D, anti-codon, and T loops). Lineage: Eukaryota; Fungi; Ascomycota; Sordariomycetes; Xylariales; Xylariaceae. The record is from RNAcentral.